GGGAAAUGAGGAAUGGGUUUAAUCUCGCUUAUAAAUGCGUGAAGAGCGUACCGCUCAAAGCCUGUUACGACAAUUUGGGCGCUCCAAUUGUUAUACCAAUCUGAUCCC
Small nucleolar RNA from Capsella rubella, 108 nucleotides. It matches the Rfam family "Small nucleolar RNA Z279/snoR105/snoR108". From Rfam's summary of the family: This family includes the plant snoRNAs known as Z279, snoR105 and snoR108. All three are members of the C/D class of snoRNA which contain the C (UGAUGA) and D (CUGA) box motifs. Most of the members of the box C/D family function in directing site-specific 2'-O-methylation of substrate RNAs. NCBI's taxonomy places the organism in Eukaryota, Viridiplantae, Streptophyta, Magnoliopsida, Brassicales, Brassicaceae. The record is from Rfam.